This 480-nucleotide ribosomal RNA is filed under the name Alteromonas sp. AS-3. Its description in RNAcentral is "bacterial SSU rRNA". It matches the Rfam family "Bacterial small subunit ribosomal RNA", at positions 14 to 489 of the family's 1533-position model. The record is from RNAcentral. Lineage: Bacteria; Pseudomonadati; Pseudomonadota; Gammaproteobacteria; Alteromonadales; Alteromonadaceae.
UUUUCCUGGUUCAGAUUGAACGUUGGCGGCAGGCCUAACACAUGCAANUCGAACGGUAAACAGGAUUNGCUUGNUAUUCGCUGACGAGUGGCGGACGGGUGAGUAAUGCUUGGGAACUUGCCUUUGCGAGGGGGAUAACAGUUGGAAACGACUGCUAAUACCGCAUAAUGUUUACGGACCAAACGGGGCCUUCGGCUCCGGCGCAAAGAGAGGCCCAAGUGAGAUUAGCUAGUUGGUAAGGUAAAGGCUUACCAAGGCAACGAUCUCUAGCUGUUCUGAGAGGAAGAUCAGCCACACUGGAACUGAGACACGGUCCAGACUCCUACGGGAGGCAGCAGUGGGGAAUAUUGCACAAUGGGGGAAACCCUGAUGCAGCCAUGCCGCGUGUGUGAAGAAGGCCUUCGGGUUGUAAAGCACUUUCAGUUGUGAGGAAAAGUUAGUAGUUAAUACCUGCUAGCCGUGACGUUAACAACAGAAGAA